GUGCUCACUUCGGCAGUACAUAUACUAAAAGUGGAAUGAUACAGAGAAGAUUCGCGUGGCCCCUGCACAAGGAUGAUACACAAAUUCGUGAAGUGCUCCACAUUUUU
Small nuclear RNA from Delphinapterus leucas (beluga whale), 107 nucleotides. NCBI's taxonomy places the organism in Eukaryota, Metazoa, Chordata, Mammalia, Artiodactyla, Monodontidae. The record is from Ensembl.